RNAcentral lists this long non-coding RNA (330 nucleotides) under Struthio camelus australis. RNAcentral's name for it is "lncRNA (ENSSCUG00000004338.1)". Lineage: Eukaryota; Metazoa; Chordata; Aves; Struthioniformes; Struthionidae. The record is from RNAcentral.
CUCGUACAAUCACACACCUGAAUCCUCCAGACGUAUUUCUCCAGCAGCGUCAGGCAGAGCCUUCAUUCCCCUGGCCAAGGCAAACGGGUUGCCGUUCCCCUUGGAGCUCGUCCACCCACCAACUUACUUGGUGGGAGAGACUGCUGCCGAGUACUGUGAAGGAUCCCAGAGGGGCCAAUGGUGUCACCUCCACAGGGCUGCGCGCACCUGCCACUGGCAGAGCAAGAGGCCAGCGCUGGUCAUCACAAAAUGCAGAUCUCGUGCCUGAACCUCAUUUCAUGAAGACAAAAACAUGCGUUCUCUGAUCUCCGGCAUGGCGUCCAUAGCGAA